This 1658-nucleotide ribosomal RNA is filed under the name Staphylococcus epidermidis. RNAcentral describes it as "partial 23S ribosomal RNA". It matches the Rfam family "Bacterial large subunit ribosomal RNA", at positions 1276 to 2925 of the family's 2925-position model. The record is from RNAcentral. Lineage: Bacteria; Bacillati; Bacillota; Bacilli; Caryophanales; Staphylococcaceae.
GAGCGCUUAGAAGUGAGAAUGCCGGUGUGAGUAGCGAAAGACGGGUGAGAAUCCCGUCCACCGAUUGACUAAGGUUUCCAGAGGAAGGCUCGUCCGCUCUGGGUUAGUCGGGUCCUAAGCUGAGGCCGACAGGCGUAGGCGAUGGAUAACAGGUUGAUAUUCCUGUACCACCUAGUAUCGUUUUAAUCGAUGGGGGGACGCAGUAGGAUAGGCGAAGCGUGCUGUUGGAGUGCACGUCCAAGCAGUAAGGCUGAGUGUUAGGCAAAUCCGGCACUCAUAAGGCUGAGCUGUGAUGGGGAGAGGAAAUUGUUUCCUCGAGUCGUUGAUUUCACACUGCCGAGAAAAGCCUCUAGAUAGAUAACAGGUGCCCGUACCGCAAACCGACACAGGUAGUCAAGAUGAGAAUUCUAAGGUGAGCGAGCGAACUCUCGUUAAGGAACUCGGCAAAAUGACCCCGUAACUUCGGGAGAAGGGGUGCUCUUUAGGGUUCACGCCCAGAAGAGCCGCAGUGAAUAGGCCCAAGCGACUGUUUAUCAAAAACACAGGUCUCUGCUAAACCGUAAGGUGAUGUAUAGGGGCUGACGCCUGCCCGGUGCUGGAAGGUUAAGAGGAGUGGUUAGCUUCUGCGAAGCUACGAAUCGAAGCCCCAGUAAACGGCGGCCGUAACUAUAACGGUCCUAAGGUAGCGAAAUUCCUUGUCGGGUAAGUUCCGACCCGCACGAAAGGCGUAACGAUUUGGGCACUGUCUCAACGAGAGACUCGGUGAAAUCAUAGUACCUGUGAAGAUGCAGGUUACCCGCGACAGGACGGAAAGACCCCGUGGAGCUUUACUGUAGCCUGAUAUUGAAAUUCGGCACAGCUUGUACAGGAUAGGUAGGAGCCUUUGAAACGUGAGCGCUAGCUUACGUGGAGGCGUUGGUGGGAUACUACCCUAGCUGUGUUGGCUUUCUAACCCGCACCACUUAUCGUGGUGGGAGACAGUGUCAGGCGGGCAGUUUGACUGGGGCGGUCGCCUCCUAAAAGGUAACGGAGGCGCUCAAAGGUUCCCUCAGAAUGGUUGGAAAUCAUUCAUAGAGUGUAAAGGCAUAAGGGAGCUUGACUGCGAGACCUACAAGUCGAGCAGGGUCGAAAGACGGACUUAGUGAUCCGGUGGUUCCGCAUGGAAGGGCCAUCGCUCAACGGAUAAAAGCUACCCCGGGGAUAACAGGCUUAUCUCCCCCAAGAGUUCACAUCGACGGGGAGGUUUGGCACCUCGAUGUCGGCUCAUCGCAUCCUGGGGCUGUAGUCGGUCCCAAGGGUUGGGCUGUUCGCCCAUUAAAGCGGUACGCGAGCUGGGUUCAGAACGUCGUGAGACAGUUCGGUCCCUAUCCGUCGUGGGCGUAGGAAAUUUGAGAGGAGCUGUCCUUAGUACGAGAGGACCGGGAUGGACAUACCUCUGGUGUACCAGUUGUCGUGCCAACGGCAUAGCUGGGUAGCUAUGUAUGGACGGGAUAAGUGCUGAAAGCAUCUAAGCAUGAAGCCCCCCUCAAGAUGAGAUUUCCCAACUUCGGUUAUAAGAUCCCUCGAAGAUGACGAGGUUAAUAGGUUCGAGGUGGAAGCGUGGUGACACGUGGAGCUGACGAAUACUAAUCGAUCGAAGACUUAAUCAAUUUUUUAAA